Ovis aries (sheep) is the source of this 72-nucleotide transfer RNA. It matches the Rfam family "tRNA". From Rfam's summary of the family: Transfer RNA (tRNA) molecules are approximately 80 nucleotides in length. Lineage: Eukaryota; Metazoa; Chordata; Mammalia; Artiodactyla; Bovidae. The record is from Rfam.
UCUCUGAUAGCUCAGCUGGUAAAGAAUCUGCCUGCAAUGCAGGAGACCCUGGUUUGAUUCUGGGUUGGGAAG